AAUAGAUACCCCGGUAGUCCACGCCCUAAACGAUGUCUACUAGUUGUCGGGGAUUAAUUUCCUUGGUAACGCAGCUAACGCGGGAAGUAGACCGCCUGGGGAGUACGGUCGCAAGAUUAAAACUCAAAGGAAUUGACGGGGACCCGCACAAGCGGUGGAUGAUGUGGAUUAAUUCGAUGCAACGCGAAAAACCUUACCUACGCUUGACAUGUCCGGAAUCCUGCAGAGAUGUGGGAGUGCCCGAAAGGGAGCCGGAACACAGGUGCUGCAUGGCUGUCGUCAGCUCGUGUCGUGAGAUGUUGGGUUAAGUCCCGCAACGAGCGCAACCCUUAUCAUUAGUUGCUACGCAAGGGCACUCUAAUGAGACUGCCGGUGACAAACCGGAGGAAGGUGGGGAUGACGUCAAGUCCUCAUGGCCCUUAUGCGUAGGGCUUCACACGUCAUACAAUGGUCGGUACAGAGGGCUGCCAACCCGCGAGGGGGAGCCAAUCCCACAAAACCGAUCGUAGUCCGGAUUGCAGUCUGCAA
Molecule: ribosomal RNA, 528 nt
Filed under: uncultured bacterium
Lineage: Bacteria
Description: bacterial SSU rRNA
Rfam family: Bacterial small subunit ribosomal RNA
Source: RNAcentral